Molecule: ribosomal RNA, 254 nt
Filed under: uncultured bacterium
Lineage: Bacteria
Description: partial 16S ribosomal RNA
Rfam family: Bacterial small subunit ribosomal RNA
Source: RNAcentral
UACGGGGGGGGGCAAGCGUUGUUCGGAAUUACUGGGCGUAAAGGGCUCGUAGGCGGCCAACUAAGUCAGACGUGAAAUCCCUCGGCUUAACCGGGGAACUGCGUCUGAUACUGGAUGGCUUGAGUGUGGGAGAGGAAUGCGGAAUUCCAGGUGUAGCGGUGAAAUGCGUAGAUAUCGGGAGGAACACCUGUGGCGAAAGCGGCUCACUGGACCACAACUGACGCUGAGGCGCGAAAGCGUGGGGAGCAAACAGG